GUAAUCACAAGGCUUUCUAUUUCCAAAGAAUUAUUAGAGGUUUCAAGAAGUUUUCUAAGGUUUUAUUCAGUGGCAGAAGACUUCUUUCAUUGAAUAAAUUAUAAAGAAACAACCAGUGACAAAAUAGUAUCACUUUAUGAUUAGACCUCAUGAAUCCUAACACAUUAGUCACACUGUGAUGGUUAAUACUGAGUGUCAACUUGUUUGAAGGAUCAAAGUAUUGUUAUUGGGUGUGUCUGUGAGGGUGUUGCCAAAGGAGAUCAACAUUUGAGUCAGUGGACUGGGAAAGGCAGACCCUAACCUUCAUCUGGGUGGGCACAAUCUAAUCAGCUGCCAGCAUAGCCAGAAUAAAAGCAGGCAGAAGAACAUGGAAAGAUGAGACUGGCUUAGCCUCCGAGCCUACAUCUUUCUCCCAUGCUGGAUGCUUCCUAUCUUCAAACAUCAGACUCCAAGUUCUUCAGCUUUGGGACUUGGACUGGCUUCGUUGCUCCUCAGCUUGCAUACAGCCUAUUGUGGGACCUCAUCUUGUGAACAUUCUCCACCCCUUCAAGCAAUAGCAAGAUUGAGCAGCAUUCACCGCCCAGGGAAGACAUCAAUUAUAAGCAGAAUGAAGAUAAGGAAGAGAUCAAAGGCCUGGAAGAAUACUGAGCAAGGGCAAGACUUCCCAUGCUAGGCCAGAACAGAUCUAGAGACCUGUAGGGUCGGAAGGGGAGAGAUGAAGAGGAAGCAAAGAGAGUGAAAAAAUGAGGCUGGAAGGAUGACCUCGGAAGUCACAUGCUGAAGAUGGAAGACAUGUUGUAGUGCUGCAUUGACCUGGGGCUCAGACAUCUCAGACUCUUGUAGAAAAAAAAAAAAAAAAAAAACAAGACACAACUUUAUUGGGUUUGGUCUUACUUAUUAUACAUAUAUGCAUUACUACAUUAAUAUAUCUUGUUCCAGCAGCUUAGUUUUUACUUUUAGCCUCUAGAGGAUUUAGUGAUUUAAGUAGCCAUGAAGGGUAAAGAACACCAGGGAUUUCACAAUGACUAAAUUUAACAGCACAGAUGGCAGGGUUGAUAGUGUGCCAUUAUUUGAGUUAAAGAAAAAGCAAAAGAAAUUGCAGCUCUGGGGAGAUGAUAAUAAACUCACAUUUUGAAGGAUGAAGUUUAUGUUACUUGUGGGAUAUCCUGUUGGAGAUAUUCAGUAGGUUUUUAGACAGUCCUGGAUCUGAGAAAAAUAUGAAAGGUUUAUAGAAGCCAGAUGCGGCAGGGAAUACAUAGGGAGAGGUUGUGCAGCUAGAAGAGAAGGCAGUCAAUUACAAGACCCCCAGAAACCAAAAGCAAUAAAUAAAUAAAUAAGGAAGACUGUCAUAAAAACAAUGUUGAAUGAUGAAACAAAAAACAAAAAAUAGGUGCUAAAAAACACACCCAUUCACACAGUGUGAUAUUAUUUAAAGAAAAGUUAAAAUAUACCAAAAUAUGACAUGACACAUUAUGUACAGGUACAUACUAUGUAGCAAAAGAAUAUUUAAAAUGCAUGUGAUUGUAAACAUGCAAGUUUGGAUAAUGGUUACACUUUCAUUUGGGCAUGAAGGAACAUACAAUCUGGGAGGAACACAUAGGGAACUUGAAAUUUGUUGAUAGUGUUUUAUUUAUUAAAAUGGAAGCAGGUACAGAAGUGCUCACUUUUUACAUAGUUCACAUGAUUUGAUAACAAAAUUUAAACCUAAAAUGCAGAAAAGAAAGAGAGUUUUACAAAGUAGGAUGCAGUUAACAAUAACAAAGGAAGAUGAGAAAUAGAAAAUGACAAUUGAAUUUGACAGCCAGUAGUUAAUUAAUGACAUUUAGAAGAGGAAUUUUAGUAAGUACAGGGGAACUGAGUUAGAUUUUUAAAAAAUGGAAUGUGUAAAAUUCCACAUUUACAUUCUAAACAUUACACUAUUUUUGUUGUGCUAUUCACUCUAGGAAAUUGCCUUAUAAUGAGGAGAAAUAAAUAAAUUUUACAUUCUGUAGUAAUUAGAGGAAAAGAUACUAAUGAGAUGAUAACUGCUCUAAUUCAUCUAAUAAAAUAUUUUUGAUUGGGUUAGUUUAUUAUAGGAAUCAGCUAUAAAAUAUUAAUCAUUUCUCACUAGUAUAUUAGAAAUAACUCUUAAAUCUGUUAAAGGUACAUAAAUUCUAGUGGGCACCUGAAUGUAAAAUAAUGAAAAGUAAAAAGACUCUGAAGAGAAAUUUUUUUUUAAAUUUAGGAAGCCAGUAAACCAUUUUCAAAAGAGUAUUUGUUAUGUUCUAAUAUUUGCGUCUCCCCGAAUUCAUAUGUUGAAACUCUAACCCGUAAGGCGAUGGCAUUAGGAGCCUUUGGGAAGUUAUUAGGUCAUGAGGGUUCCUCUUGCAUGAAUAGGAUUCCUGCCCUUAUAAAAAUGGCCCAAGAGAGCUCGCUGGCCCUUUCAGCCACAUAAGGACACAGUGAAAAAACGUUUAUAAACCAGGAAGUGGGCCCUCACCAGACACUGAACCUGUUGGCACUUUGAUUUAGAACUUCCCAGUCUCCAGAGCUGUGAGAAAUAAAUGUUGGUUGUUUAUAAGCCACACAGCCCAUGGUAAUUUGUUAUAGCAGCCUGAACAGGCUAAGACAGUUAUGUAAAUAUUACUCUUCCAAAAUAUUUUUCUUUUUUUUUUUUUUUUUUUUUGAGAUGGAGUUUCACUCUUGUUGCCCAGGUUGGAGUGCAAUGGCACGAUCUUGGCUCAUCACAACCUCCACCUCCUGGGUCCAAGCGAUUCUCCUG
RNAcentral lists this long non-coding RNA (2761 nucleotides) under Homo sapiens (human). Its description in RNAcentral is "HSALNT0091234". The record is from RNAcentral. Lineage: Eukaryota; Metazoa; Chordata; Mammalia; Primates; Hominidae.